CAAAGAACCACCCUCGCUUCAGAAGGUCCGAAGGCGAGCAUCCCAAGUGUUCAUAGUGAUGCAGAGAUGCCUGUCACGUAAACAUAGACAACAAAGUUUAGGAACCUGUUUGGAAAGAUGAUUUGCUGAGUAGUCAAAUGUGAUAAUUUGUUAAAAGUUAAAUAACUAGAGUUGAUAAUCACAGGAAGAAUACACCAAGGGUGGGCAUAGCCAUUCAGUAAUAAUAGUGUGACAGUUAGAGGAAACCUCGUUACCCCAAGUUAACUGUUAACUCGAGCCCUAUCUGGUUCCCACUUCCACAGUCAGAGCUCUCAAGGACCUUUAAGUUCCUUCUUAACCAGUAUCAAGCCAGUUAUUUUAGAAGUAGGAGGCGGCACCGAGGUUCAAAAGAGGUAAGCGUGGGGGAACUAAAAGGAAGAAUCGCACUACACAGUACAGACUAAUAUUUUACUUCUAAAAUGUGGCGUGGCAAAUACUGUAGUCUGUCCCCCAAUAUUCGUUAUUGAAAUAAAUUACUAAAAUGGAAACCUCCAUUUUGCUGCUGGGCAAAUUGUUUGGGACGUUAAAACUGCAUAUCUCCCAGCCUCCUUUGCUGUUGCGUGUGGUCGUGUGAUUACGAUUAUGUUUUGGCCAAUGAGAUGUAAGCGGAAGUUUCCUCUGGCAGCUUCCGUAAUACUCCUUACGAACGAGGCGGCCUGCUUGUUGCGGCUCUUCUUCAUCCCUUCCUCCUUUCUACCACCUGGAACCGAGACGGCUGGACCAUGAGGAUAAGGGCACCCACGAGGGAAGGCAGCCUGGUGAGGGGGGCCGAGGCCGAGUCCCUGAGCACACCUUGGAUCAGGCUGCCGUAUCAACCCUGCAGUGUGCACCUCUGGACUUGACUUGGAAGAAAUAAAAUUCUAUCUCGUUUAAGCCAUUGGUAUCUCAGGACUCCCUAACAUGUAGUGAAACCCUGUCUCAACAAACAUGGGUGGGAAAAAGUGGAGAACUUUGCUGAGGAGCCAGAGACCAGCGGGCAGCUGACUACGCUGGAUGUGGAGCUGCAGCCACUGGCAGGAGAAGUCAAUGUCUCGCCCCCCUGCCGGAUGAUGCCCAGACCUGACCCAUCAUCCAUGUCAUCUCUACUGCCAUUCAUACUCGUUGAGCAAUUGGCUAGAAACCUUCCCAGCCCUCCUGCUAUUUGCCCCAGAUGCUUCAAUCUGGCAAUGCUGAGCUCUUUCUAUUCAGGCAGUGAAGUGGGAGCAAUCUCUUUCCUCAUCUCAAUCUUUAUAGAUCUAGGGCAGAAACGGGUAGUUUCCGUCUUGCAUUUCACAGCUUGGGAACUAUACUAGGCAACCUGGCCCUUGAGACAAACAGUCUUGAUUCUUCCUCCCCGGGGCAAUUGAUGUUAUUAACCCCUUUGAACUUCAAAUCCCUUCUCUGUAAAAUGACAAUAAUAAUACCUAACUCAAAAAGUUGUUUGGAUUAAAUGAAAGACAAUUACUGCAGAACAUCCGGCCCAGUGCGGCCUCACUGUCUAUUUACAAUGAAUGCUGCCAAUAUUAUUGAGGUUCUUGUUUGAAUUUUUAACUACCAAUUCACUAAAAAUCAAUUCGUGAAAUAAACACUUCGUGGAAUGACUAAAAUUUACAAACUGCAGUUUUUAGCAAUUUUAAUAAAAAUAUUUUAUUUUUGAUUACAUGUAAUCAAAUAAAUUCUUUUGUAUGUUCUUUUGUAUGUUGGCUUAACUAAGCUUGAUUGGUUACCUGAUAAAAUAAUUCUAAUCAAAUGCUAAAAUGAUGGUAAAUCAUAAGUUCAGUGAAAAUGGCAAUAUGAACUGCUUUUUCCAUCCUAAAUUUUGGCGUUCAGUAUGUGACUUUUGAUCUUUUCAGAUGCUUUGUAUGAAAUUAUUUUUUCCAAAUUUAAGCACAUUUAGAAUUAUUUUACCAAUUCCCCAAAUGGCAUGUCAGCCUUAAUUUACAUUUUUAGCAAGUGAUUUUUA
This 1981-nucleotide long non-coding RNA is filed under the name Equus caballus (horse). RNAcentral describes it as "lncRNA (ENSECAG00000052907.1)". The record is from RNAcentral. Lineage: Eukaryota; Metazoa; Chordata; Mammalia; Perissodactyla; Equidae.